GCGAUCGUGGUGUAAUGGACAAGCAUAUGGGUCUUCCAAUCCUUUGGUACGAGUUCGAAUCUCGUCGAUCGCU
Molecule: transfer RNA, 73 nt
Filed under: Alkalinema sp. CACIAM 70d
Lineage: Bacteria; Bacillati; Cyanobacteriota; Cyanophyceae; Leptolyngbyales; Leptolyngbyaceae
Rfam family: tRNA
About the family: Transfer RNA (tRNA) molecules are approximately 80 nucleotides in length. Their secondary structure includes four short double-helical elements and three loops (D, anti-codon, and T loops).
Source: Rfam by way of RNAcentral